Molecule: ribosomal RNA, 269 nt
Filed under: uncultured Planctomycetales bacterium
Lineage: Bacteria; Pseudomonadati; Planctomycetota; Planctomycetia; Planctomycetales
Description: partial 16S ribosomal RNA
Rfam family: Bacterial small subunit ribosomal RNA
Source: RNAcentral
GAGCACGUAGGUGGGUUUGUAAGUCAGAUGUGAAAGCCUUCUGUUCAACGGAAGAAUUGCAUCUGAAACUACAAACCAUGAGUAUAGGAGGGGAGAAUGGAACUUCUGGUGGAGCGGUGAAAUGCGUAGAUAUCAGAAGGAACGCCGACGGCGAAAGCGAUUCUCUGGCCUAUUACUGACACUCAGUGUGCGAAAGCUAGGGGAGCAAACGGGAUUAGAUACCCCGGUAGUCCUAGCCGUAAACGAUGGGCACUAAGUAGAGGGGUUUU